Oncorhynchus tshawytscha (Chinook salmon) is the source of this 396-nucleotide long non-coding RNA. NCBI's taxonomy places the organism in Eukaryota, Metazoa, Chordata, Actinopteri, Salmoniformes, Salmonidae. The record is from Ensembl.
GGGAGAGAGAGAUACAGAGGGAGAGAGAAGACAGAGGGAGAGAGAAGACAGAGGGAGAGAGAAGACAGAGGGAGAGAGAAGACAGGGGAGAGAGAUACAGAGGGAGAGAUACAGAGGGAGAGAGAUACAGAAGGAGAGAGAAGACAGAGGGAGAGAGAUACAGAGGGAGAGAGAAGACAGAGGGAGAGAGAUACAGAGGGAGAGAGAUACAGAGAGAAGACAGAGGGAGAGAGAAGACAGAGGGGAGAGAAGACAGAGGGAGAGAGAAGACAGGGGAGAGAGAAGACAGAGGGAGAGAGAAGACAGGUGGAGAGAGAAGACAGAGGGAGAGAGAGACAGGUGGAGAGAGAAGACAGAGGGAGAGAGAAGACAGGUGGAGAGAGAAGACAGAGAGAA